RNAcentral lists this unclassified non-coding RNA (303 nucleotides) under Hevea brasiliensis (rubber tree). Lineage: Eukaryota; Viridiplantae; Streptophyta; Magnoliopsida; Malpighiales; Euphorbiaceae. The record is from RNAcentral.
AAAAAAAAAAAAAAAAAAAAGGGGAAAGGCCCGCUGCCGCUCGUGUCCUUCCGCUGUUAAGUGUCCCUUCCGCUGUAAGUUUCCCUGACGAUUUGAUGGAAAGGCUGUACAUAAAGAUAUUUUGUAGCAAUUUCUUGCGCAUAUGAUAUUGCAGAACGGAGAUUUUGGCUUUUACAUACAAUCGAGACUAUGGAUUCUUUGGCAAGUUGUCCCUUCUGUGAUGUAAUUCUCCCGCAAUCGGAACUCCAAAGGCAUGCCACCAGCCACUUUGAGGAGGCGGACGAUGAGCAAUUCACUAUGGAC